AGGAUCAAUAGCAGUUGAAACCCUUUUCAUAAAAGAGAGCAAUAAGGACACUAGAAGCAACAACAGAAGAGGAGAGAGUGGAAAAUGAGGCAAAUGUUACUGCUCUUCUUUUUCAGCUUCUUGCUCUUGCUUUGCUUUCCUGAGUCUUCCAACGGGUCACUUUCCCCUUUUGUGGGUCGCCCUUGAAGUCUUCUAACUGAUCUGUGGCAAGACCACUUGCUG
Molecule: unclassified non-coding RNA, 222 nt
Filed under: Hevea brasiliensis (rubber tree)
Lineage: Eukaryota; Viridiplantae; Streptophyta; Magnoliopsida; Malpighiales; Euphorbiaceae
Source: RNAcentral